UGAGGAAUAUUGGUCAAUGGACGAGAGUCUGAACCAGCCAAGUAGCGUGCAGGAUGACGGCCCUAUGGGUUGUAAACUGCUUUUGUUUGGGAAUAAUCGACAUUACGUGUAAUGUUUUGCAUGUACCAUUCGAAUAAGGACCGGCUAAUUCCGUGCCAGCAGCCGCGGUAAUACGGAAGGUCCAGGCGUUAUCCGGCUUUAUUGGGUUUAAAGGGAGUGUAGGCGGUUGGUUAAGCGUGUUGUGAAAUGUAGAUGCUCAACAUCUGACUUGCAGCGCGAACUGGCUGACUUGAGUACACACAACGUAGGCGGAAUUCAUGGUGUAGCGGUGAAAUGCUUAGAUAUCAUGAAGAACUCCGAUUGCGAAGGCAGCUUACGGGAGUGUUACUGACGCUUAAGCUCGAAGGUGCGGGUAUCGAACAGG
Molecule: ribosomal RNA, 424 nt
Filed under: Verrucomicrobiota bacterium
Lineage: Bacteria; Pseudomonadati; Verrucomicrobiota
Description: Verrucomicrobia bacterium partial 16S ribosomal RNA
Rfam family: Bacterial small subunit ribosomal RNA
Source: RNAcentral